This 1078-nucleotide long non-coding RNA is filed under the name Suricata suricatta (meerkat). Its description in RNAcentral is "lncRNA (ENSSSUG00005015710.1)". Lineage: Eukaryota; Metazoa; Chordata; Mammalia; Carnivora; Herpestidae. The record is from RNAcentral.
UCUUCCCUGUUUUUUUUGACUUGGCAGCCAUUGUCACUUCAAACACUGUUAUACCCAAGUUUCCAAUAUCGCCCCCAAAAACCAGAGACUGCCAGGGAGACCGAGUCACGCAUUCAAAAGCAAAGGGCUUUAUUAUGGGCUUAGGCUCGCCGGGGGCUAAACUCGGGCUCACAGACUUUACUGGCGUGGUGGAUCCAUGCUGAGAGCCCCGAACAAAGGUGGGUAGGGCUUUUAUGAGUUUGGGAAGGGGGAGUUACAGGAAAUUGUGACAUAGGUACAGUGAUCCAAUCAUUAUUAUACAACAUUAUUGACAGCAGGUUUAACCAUUCACAUUGCCUAGAGUAUUUGUUACUUUUGGCAGGACCCAAUCACAACAUUUAGAGUAUUGACCAAUCACAGAGUGGGCCCAGUACCCUCACAUAGGGUGUGACUAGUCUUUAGCCUCCAUCUUUAGGCCUGCCCUUAGAAAUGUUAAAGGUGUUAGCUGGCCUUUCCUGAUUGGGCGUUACAAGGGUGGUCCCUCUUGCCUUGGGCAGUGUGUGCCCUUCUAUUGUCUCAUGGAGUCAGUUUCAGACCUGCAUCCCUACAACUGAGAGUUUUAUUUAAGUAAAAGUUUACAAUAAAAUUUCAAUUAUAAAUGCAACAAGUCUGAAACUGCCAUCUACAAAAGUGAAAGGGUACAAGGAGCUACUGUCCCCACUCCUUUUCCUGCAGCAGCCUCCACCUUGCACAUGGCAGCCAACCCUGCACUGGAUGCUACCUGUGGGCCAGCCCCAAAACCCGCCAGUGCCUUCCUCCUGGGCCCCUUCUGGCAAGCAGUGGAGUCCCAGGCUGUUCAGAGAAUCCAGUGACUUUCUACACCUCAAGUUUUAAUACAUAGAAUUAAAGCGUAUGAAGAUGGGGUAAUGCCAGAAACACUCCUUCAAAACUGAAACCCAUUUGUGAGAUCUGUUUCAGUUCCUACUGUAGACACUUCUGUUUUUUAUUAUUAAUUACUGAAUAUAUUUAACUUGGAAUCAGUUUAUUCUGAAUUCUAGCAUAUUUUUAGUGGACAAAUGUUCAAAUCUGUCUGUGCCCC